UACGUAGGGGGCAAGCGUUAUCCGGAAUUACUGGGUGUAAAGGGAGCGUAGACGGUGAUGUAAGUCUGGAGUGAAAGGCGGGGGCCCAACCCCCGGACUGCUCUGGAAACUGUCAGGCUGGAGUGCGGGAGGGGUAAGCGGAAUUCCUAGUGUAGCGGUGAAAUGCGUAGAUAUUAGGAGGAACACCGGCGGCGAAGGCGGCUUACUGGACCGUAACUGACGUUGAGGCUCGAAAGCGUGGGGAGCAAACAGG
RNAcentral lists this ribosomal RNA (253 nucleotides) under uncultured Eubacteriales bacterium. RNAcentral's name for it is "uncultured Clostridiales bacterium partial 16S ribosomal RNA". It matches the Rfam family "Bacterial small subunit ribosomal RNA", at positions 524 to 776 of the family's 1533-position model. The record is from RNAcentral. Lineage: Bacteria; Bacillati; Bacillota; Clostridia; Eubacteriales.